Small nuclear RNA from Capra hircus (goat), 104 nucleotides. The record is from Ensembl. NCBI's taxonomy places the organism in Eukaryota, Metazoa, Chordata, Mammalia, Artiodactyla, Bovidae.
GUGCUCGCCUUGGCAGCACAUAUGCUAAAACUGGAACGAUGCAGAGAUUAGCAUGGCCCCUGCUCAAGGAUGACACGCAGAUUCGUGAAGUGCUCCGUAUUUAA